Molecule: long non-coding RNA, 1001 nt
Filed under: Manihot esculenta (cassava)
Lineage: Eukaryota; Viridiplantae; Streptophyta; Magnoliopsida; Malpighiales; Euphorbiaceae
Description: long non-coding RNA (MESC_LNC006742)
Source: RNAcentral
AGCAAAUCUUCUGUAUUUUCUCUUUGAGUGUUUUGAAAGAUUCUAGAGCUUGGAUCUCUGAGAGGAAAAAUAUUGAGGGAGAAAGAGAGUUUAUUUGGAGAGUGAUAAAAAUAGCGAGGAAAAUACUUUGAAUUUUUUGAGAAACACUUUAAGUGCCACUAUUUUUUGGUAGAACUCACUUGUAAUAUCCCUCUUUGUACCUACUAUUUUUAUAGUAGAAGAAUUAAUUGGAGUUCGAAUUGUGGAUGUAGCCCAAAAUUAAGGAUGAAUCAUGUACAAUUAUUACGUACCACUUAUUUACUUUUUUGCAGUAUUUUAUUUUUAUUAUUUUAAAAGCGAUAUUUAUUUCAUUUUUAUUAUUUUAAAAGUGGUGUUUUCCCAAUAUUAACAACACCUGGUUUCAAAUAAUCUUUCUAAAUUUUUCUUUUUUUUGUUUUUUUUACUUUGAUAGUCCAUUCUUAAUCCCUUCUGAUCAGUUAUGGAGUUUUUCUGUAACACUAGGGUCGUGCAUCUUUGUAGUCAUUAAGAUGAGUAUAUACAUUGAGGAAGAUGAGAGUUAUGCUCCUAAGACUCAAACAAAUCUUCUAAGAAUGCUAUGAAUUAUGGAGUCUAUCGUUGAAGCCGACAACUUAAUCCUCUCUAAAGUCGCAACAGUGUUCCGGUGGUAUCAUUUUCACAUGAAUAGAUUAUAAGAGAGGGAAAGAGUUAAUGCGGGUCACAAUCAUCUGAGUAUAGGGCAAAGAGAUAAAGAUGAGAGUUUGUGGGUAAAAAAUAAUGAGGAUAUUUUUUAAAUUUAAAAUAUUUUUUAUUAUUUUUUUAACUAUUUUUCUUUAACCAUUAAUUUAAUAGAUUUUGUGGAUGAAUGACUUUUAAUUAAAACGAAGUGUUUAGUUUUAAAAAUUAUAUUAAAUUUAAAUAUUAAAAUAUAAUUUAUUUUAUUUUAAAACAUUUUUAAAUUAAAAAAUUAACUAUUAAUUGUACACUAAAUAGUAAAUUCCUGU